This 301-nucleotide ribosomal RNA is filed under the name uncultured bacterium. RNAcentral's name for it is "partial 16S ribosomal RNA". It matches the Rfam family "Bacterial small subunit ribosomal RNA", at positions 509 to 809 of the family's 1533-position model. The record is from RNAcentral.
CAGUCGCCGCGGGAAUACGGAGGGUGCAAGCGUUAAUCGGAAUUACUGGGCGUAAAGCGCACGCAGGCGGUCUGACAAGUCAGAUGUGAAAUCCCCGGGCUUAACCUGGGAACUGCAUUUGAAACUGUCAGGCUGGAGUCUUGUAGAGGGGGGUGGAAUUCCAGGUGUAGCGGUGAAAUGCGUAGAGAUCUGGAGGAAUACCGGUGGCGAAGGCGGCCCCCUGGACAAAGACUGACGCUCAGGUGCGAAAGCGUGGGGAGCAAACAGGAUUAGAGACCCCAGUAGUCCCUGUCUCUUAUAA